GAUGAACGCUAGCUACAGGCUUAACACAUGCAAGUCGAGGGGAAACGAUAUAGAAAGCUUGCUUUCUUUAGGCGUCGACCGGCGAAUGGGUGAGUAACGCGUAUCCAACCUGCCCCUGAGUAAGGGAUAGCCCAUCGAAAGAUGGAUUAAUACCUUAUGGUCUCCUUUGCAGACAUCUAAUUAGGAGUAAAGGUUUACCGCUAUGGGAUGGGGAUGCGUCUGAUUAGGUUGCAGGCGGGGUAACGGCCCACCUGGCCUACGAUCAGUAGGGGUUCUGAGAGGAAGGUCCCCCACACUGGUACUGAGACACGGACCAGACUCC
Molecule: ribosomal RNA, 322 nt
Filed under: uncultured Prevotella sp.
Lineage: Bacteria; Pseudomonadati; Bacteroidota; Bacteroidia; Bacteroidales; Prevotellaceae
Description: bacterial SSU rRNA
Rfam family: Bacterial small subunit ribosomal RNA
Source: RNAcentral